GUGAAAAACUAGAAACUCAAAGGACUUGGCGGUGCCCCAAAUCGGCCUAGAGGAGCCUGUCCUAUAAUCGAUACCCCACGCUAAACCUCACCAUUUUUUGCAACUCAGCCUAUAUACCGCCGUCGUCAGCCUACCUUAUGAAAGAAACAAAAUAGGCAAAACAGUUAACAACUAAAACGUCAGGUCAAGGUGUAGCAUAUAAAAUGGAAGAGAUGGGCUACAUUUUUUAUAAUAAAAAACACGAAAAGAACAGUGAAACCUGCUCUAGAAGGCGGAUUUAGCAGUAAGACAAACAAGAAGACUUGUCUUAAACCCGCUCUGAGGCGCGC
Molecule: ribosomal RNA, 329 nt
Filed under: Toenayar novemcarinata (Anderson's mabuya)
Lineage: Eukaryota; Metazoa; Chordata; Lepidosauria; Squamata; Scincidae
Description: partial 12S ribosomal RNA
Rfam family: Bacterial small subunit ribosomal RNA
Source: RNAcentral